Molecule: non-coding RNA, 2335 nt
Organism: Xyrichtys novacula (pearly razorfish)
Lineage: Eukaryota; Metazoa; Chordata; Actinopteri; Labriformes; Labridae
Source: the annotation of a GenBank genome assembly
GUGGUGAGGUUGUCCUGUCCAUCAUCUUAUUGUAGGGUCCUCAUGCAUCUGAAGUGUCUGUCUCCUCACGUUGUUCCUUCUGCAGCCUAAGGAACCUCAAUUUUUUGAAAAUUACUUCUCCUAUAAUAAAAUUUACAAAACUAAGACAACUAAUACAACCAGUACAAAUGCCAAAACAUCCAAAAAAAUACAGCAUGACAAAAAAAAAAACUAAAACCUAGGAUUAAAAACAGCAGUGUAUGACUAAAGUGAAGAACAAUUAUUCCUUUAAAAGGCAAAGAGGAGAAGUAUUUUAGUGUAGAAAGAAUUAAAAAGCAUUAAAAUAGUUUUGAAAAAUGAUCCCUGCAGAAGAAGGUGCGUCUCUGUCCUCACUCUGGGUUCAAAUGACUGAUAGGUGUCCAAACUCAACAGUUAACAGGCUAAGGGGACAUUUUAAAGCUAAACAUCAGGUGUUGUUAUUUUUUGAAAUGGAGAUGUUUGUGAAAAUGUGUGAAAACUUCAAAGUGUUAUAACUCAGUGUUUCAUGAGCCAAAAUCAUGUCCAGUCAAUAAAGGCAACACAAUUUUCUCACAAAUCACCACAAAAGGCCACAAAUCGAUCAGGUUAUGAAUCAUAUGGAGAAAGGCAAAGCAGCGUUAACAAAACAAAACAAAACAAAACAAAACAACAACAUUAAGCUACACUUAACCCAGUCAGUUGUGGUGAGGGUGACCUGUCCAUCAUCUUAUUGGAGCAUCCUCAUGUAUCUUAGGACCCUCAUUCUUUAAAAACAAACACUUUUCCAAAAAGAAUAUUUACAAAACUAAGACAACUAAAACAACCAGUACAAAUGUAAAAACAUCCAAACAAAUACAGCAUGACAAAAAAAAUGUUGACAUUUAAAUUAAAUAAAAACCCAAAGCUAAAAUUAAAAACAGCAGUGUAUGACUAAAGUGAAGAACAAUUAUUCCUUUAAAAGGCAAAGAGUAAAACAAAGUGAUACUUGACCCAGUCAGUGGUGGUGAGGUUGUCCUGUCCAUCAUCUAAUUGUAGGAUCCUCAUGCAUCUGAAGUGUCUGUCUCCCCAUGUUGUUCCUUCUGCAGCCUUAGGACCCUCAAUUUUUUUAAACAAAUGCUUUUUCUUAAAAAAAAGUUUACAAAACCAAGACAACUAAAACAUCCAAACAAAUGUAAAAACAUCCAAACAAAUACAGCAUGACAAAAAAAUAGUAUAAUAGUUUUGAAGAAUGAUCCCUGCAGAAGAAGGUGCGUCUCUGUCCUCACUCUGGGUUCAAAUGACUGAUAGGUGUCCAAACUCAACAGUUAACAGGCUAAGGGGACAUUUUAAAGCUAAACAUCAGGUGUUGUUAUUUUUUGAAAUGGAGAUGUUUGUGAAAAUGUGUGAAAACUUCAAAUUGUUAUAACUCAGUGUUUCAUGAGCCAAAAUCAUGUCCAGUCAAUAAAGGCAACACAAUUUUCUCACAAAUCACCACAAAAGGCCACAAAUCGAUCAGGUUAUGAAUCAUAUGGAGAAAGGCAAAGCAGCGUUAACAUAACAAAACAAAACAACAACAUUAAGCUACACUUAACCCAGUCAGUGGUGGUGAAGGUGACCUGUCCAUCAUCUUAUUGGAGCGUCCUCAUGUAUCUUAGGACCCUCAUUCUUUAAAAACAAACACUUUUCCAAAAAGAAAAUUUACAAAACUAAGACAACUAAAACAACCAGUACAAAUGUAAAAACAUCCAAACAAAUACAGCAUGACAAAAAAAAUGUUGACAUUUAAAUUAAAUAAAAACCCAAAGCUAAAAUUAAAAACAGCAGUGUAUGACUAAAGUGAAGAACAAUUAUUCCUUUAAAAGGCAAAGAGUAAAACAAAGUGAUACUUGACCCAGUCAGUGGUGGUGAGGUUGUCCUGUCCAUCAUCUAAUUGUAGGAUCCUCAUGCAUCUGAAGUGUCUGUCUCCUCAUGUUGUUCCUUCUGCAGCCUUAGGACCCUCAAUUUUUUUAAACAAAUACUUUUUCUUAAAAAAAAGUUUACAAAACUAAGACAACUAAAACAAACAGUACAAAUAUAAAAACAUCUAAACAAAUACAACAUGACAAAGAAAUAGUAUAAUAGUUUUGAAAAAUGAUCCCUGCAGAAGAAGGUGCAUCUCUGUCCUCACUCUGGGUUCAAAUGACUGAUCAGUGUCCAAACUCAACAGUUAACAGGCUAAGGGAACACAUCACCUUAGACUCACUGACAUCAUCACUGACAUCAUCAUUACCAUGGAGAUGUUUGUUUUCUUUUAAAUUAAAAAAUGUGUGAAAACUUCAAAUUGUUAUAACUCAGUGUUUCAUGAGCCAAAAUCAUGCCC